AAACGACUCUCGGCAACGGAUAUCUCGGCUCUCGCACCGAUGAAGAACGCAGCAAAAUGCGAUACUUGGUGUGAAUUGCAGAAUCCCGUGAAUCAUCGAGUUUUUGAACGCAAGUUGCGCCCGAAGCCUCUCGGCCGAGGGCACGUCUGCCUGGGUGUCACGCAACCGUCGCCCCCAACCCCUCCGCUCUCGCACAGGGGCAUGGGUGCGGAUGCUGGCCUCCCGUGAGCCACGAGCCAGCGGUUGGCCCAAAAUCAGAGCGCAAGGCGACGAUCGCCGCGACAUUCGGUGGUUGUAAGACUCUCUGACACCGUCGUGCGCGAUCGCCUGCCAACUGCGUCUCCCGAGACCCUGAUGCAUUCCUAAGGGCAAUGCUCCGACUGCGACCCCAGGUCAGGCGGGACUACCCGCUGAGUUUAAGCAUAUCAAUAAGCGGAGGAAAAGAAACUUACCAGGAUUCCCCUAGUAACGGCGAGCGAACC
This 482-nucleotide ribosomal RNA is filed under the name Sumbaviopsis albicans. RNAcentral describes it as "eukaryotic LSU rRNA". The stretch from base 5 to 160 matches the Rfam family "5.8S ribosomal RNA". The record is from RNAcentral. Lineage: Eukaryota; Viridiplantae; Streptophyta; Magnoliopsida; Malpighiales; Euphorbiaceae.